AGUAACACGUGGGUAACCUGCCUCAUAGAGUGGAAUAGCCUUCCGAAAGGAAGAUUAAUACCGCAUAACGUUGAAAGAUGGCAUCAUCAUUUAACCAAAGGAGCAAUCCGCUAUGAGAUGGACCCGCGGCGCAUUAGCUAGUUGGUGGGGUAACGGCCUACCAAGGCGACGAUGCGUAGCCGACCUGAGAGGGUGAUCGGCCACAUUGGGACUGAGACACGGCCCAG
Molecule: ribosomal RNA, 227 nt
Filed under: uncultured bacterium
Lineage: Bacteria
Description: partial 16S ribosomal RNA
Rfam family: Bacterial small subunit ribosomal RNA
Source: RNAcentral